Dendronephthya gigantea is the source of this 596-nucleotide long non-coding RNA. RefSeq lists it as uncharacterized. The record is from RefSeq and is a predicted model, not a curated record. NCBI's taxonomy places the organism in Eukaryota, Metazoa, Cnidaria, Anthozoa, Malacalcyonacea, Nephtheidae. The transcript has 4 exons.
ACGGUGAAUCCAUUGAUAGUAAAGCGAGACACGCAAAAGCGGUUUUCGAUCAGCCCGACGGAACGUCUCACUGUCACAAUAAGUUUCCUUGCAACAGGUGAAUCAUUUAGAAAUUUAGCUUUUCAGUUCAGGAUGGGAGAAAGAACUAUAUCUGGUGUCAUUGAAGAAACAUGUUUGGCACUGUAUGAGACAAUGAAGGGAAACUUCUUGAAGUCACUUCAAAUAGAUCAAGUUUGCAUCGGUUAUCGGAGGCAACUUACCAUAAACACACCAGAUACGUUGAGUAAAAAGCAAAACAAGGCAAGGUGAUUCAUGCUGCAAAAGAAAAAUGGCAUCAGACUUCGACAGUUGGCUCCCGAUGCAGAUACCAGUCCUUGCCAAAUUCCAGAAAUUGUAAUGACUCUCUGAAUGAGGACAUCCAACAUUAUAUAAGUUUAUCUCUUUCAUCUGCAACACAACAAACCUAUAGUUCUGGAGAAAAACGUUUUAUUACAUUCAUACAGUUAUACAAGAGAAAAAAUAUCGAGCAGGUUCUACCAGCUGAUGAAGCUCUGUUGACAGAAUUCGUUGCAUUUCUCGCAAAAUCUAUCAAAUAU